AUACGGAGGAUGCGAGCGUUAUCCGGAUUUAUUGGGUUUAAAGGGUGCGUAGGUGGUAGAUUAAGUCAGCGGUGAAAGGCUCGGGCUCAACCGGAGCAGUGCCGUUGAUACUGGUUGUCUUGAAUGCGGUCAAGGCCGGCGGAAUGUGGCGUGUAGCGGUGAAAUGCAUAGAUAUGCCACAGAACACCGAUAGCGAAGGCAGCUGGCCGGGCCUGCAUUGACGCUGAGGCACGAAAGCGUGGGGAUCGAACAGGAUUAGAUACCCUGGUAGUCACGCUGUAAACGAUGGACACUCGUUGUCGGCGACAGACAGUCGGCGGCCAAGCGAAAGUGAUAAGUGUCCCACCUGGGGAGUACGGUCGCAAGGCUGAAACUCAAAUGAAUUGACGGGG
This 392-nucleotide ribosomal RNA is filed under the name uncultured bacterium. Its description in RNAcentral is "partial 16S ribosomal RNA". It matches the Rfam family "Bacterial small subunit ribosomal RNA", at positions 523 to 918 of the family's 1533-position model. The record is from RNAcentral.